GUCACUGAGUGGGAUCGGCUAUAUGAAUCUUAGAACGCCAUUGUGCUCGAUCCUGUGUCAUGUCAUUCGUUAGAUCCAAGUACUCUAAGUCUUUUCUUAGAGUCUCUUCCAAAGUUUGCCUAGGUCUUCCUCUACCCCUUCGGCCCUGAACCUCUGUCCCAUAGUCGCAUCUUCUAAUCGGAGCGUCAGUAGGCCUUCUUUGCACAUGUCCAAACCACCGUAACCGAUUUUCUCUCAUCUUUCCUUCAAUUUCGGCUACUCCUACUUUACCCCGGAUAUCCUCAUUCCUAAUCUUAUCCUUUCUCGU
Molecule: long non-coding RNA, 307 nt
Filed under: Malus domestica (apple)
Lineage: Eukaryota; Viridiplantae; Streptophyta; Magnoliopsida; Rosales; Rosaceae
Description: long non-coding RNA (MDOM_LNC015936)
Source: RNAcentral